GGUUAAGCGACUAAGCGUACACGGUGGAUGCCCUGGCAGUCAGAGGCGAUGAAGGGCGUGCUAAUCUGCGAUAAGCGCCGGUAAGGUGAUAUGAACCGUUAUAACCGGCGAUUUCCGAAUGGGGAAACCCAGUGUGAUUCGUCACACUAUCAUUAACUGAAUCCAUAGGUUAAUGAGGCGAACCGGGGGAACUGAAACAUCUAAGUACCCCGAGGAAAAGAAAUCAACCGAGAUUCCCCCAGUAGCGGCGAGCGAACGGGGAGGAGCCCAGAGCCUGAAUCAGCAUGUGUGUUAGUGGAAGCGUCUGGAAAGGCGCGCGAUACAGGGUGACAGCCCCGUACACAAAAGCGCAUGUGCUGUGAGCUCGAUGAGUAGGGCGGGACACGUGGUAUCCUGUCUGAAUAUGGGGGGACCAUCCUCCAAGGCUAAAUACUCCUGACUGACCGAUAGUGAACCAGUACCGUGAGGGAAAGGCGAAAAGAACCCCGGCGAGGGGAGUGAAAAAGAACCUGAAACCGUGUACGUACAAGCAGUGGGAGCACAGGUUUACCUGUGUGACUGCGUACCUUUUGUAUAAUGGGUCAGCGACUUAUAUUCUGUAGCAAGGUUAACCGUAUAGGGGAGCCGCAGGGAAACCGAGUCUUAAUUGGGCGUUAAGUUGCAGGGUAUAGACCCGAAACCCGGUGAUCUAGCCAUGGGCAGGUUGAAGGUUGGGUAACACUAACUGGAGGACCGAACCGACUAAUGUUGAAAAAUUAGCGGAUGACCUGUGGCUGGGGGUGAAAGGCCAAUCAAACCGGGAGAUAGCUGGUUCUCCCCGAAAGCUAUUUAGGUAGCGCCUCGUGAAUUCAUCUCCGGGGGUAGAGCACUGUUUCGGCUAGGGGGCCAUCCCGGCUUACCAACCCGAUGCAAACUGCGAAUACCGGAGAAUGUUAUCACGGGAGACACACGGCGGGUGCUAACGUCCGUCGUGAAGAGGGAAACAACCCAGACCGCCAGCUAAGGUCCCAAAGUCAUGGUUAAGUGGGAAACGAUGUGGGAAGGCCCAGACAGCCAGGAUGUUGGCUUAGAAGCAGCCAUCAUUUAAAGAAAGCGUAAUAGCUCACUGGUCGAGUCGGCCUGCGCGGAAGAUGUAACGGGGCUAAACCAUGCACCGAAGCUGCGGCAGCGACACUGUGUGUUGUUGGGUAGGGGAGCGUUCUGUAAGCCUGUGAAGGUGGCCUGUGAGGGUUGCUGGAGGUAUCAGAAGUGCGAAUGCUGACAUAAGUAACGAUAAAGCGGGUGAAAAGCCCGCUCGCCGGAAGACCAAGGGUUCCUGUCCAACGUUAAUCGGGGCAGGGUGAGUCGACCCCUAAGGCGAGGCCGAAAGGCGUAGUCGAUGGGAAACGGGUUAAUAUUCCCGUACUUGGUGUUACUGCGAAGGGGGGACGGAGAAGGCUAUGUUGGCCGGGCGACGGUUGUCCCGGUUUAAGCGUGUAGGUGUGUGUUCCAGGUAAAUCCGGUUCACUUUAACACUGAGGCGUGAUGACGAGGCACUACGGUGCUGAAGCAACAAAUGCCCUGCUUCCAGGAAAAGCCUCUAAGCAUCAGGUAACAUCAAAUCGUACCCCAAACCGACACAGGUGGUCAGGUAGAGAAUACCAAGGCGCUUGAGAGAACUCGGGUGAAGGAACUAGGCAAAAUGGUGCCGUAACUUCGGGAGAAGGCACGCUGACAUGUAGGUGAAGUGAUUUACUCAUGGAGCUGAAGUCAGUCGAAGAUACCAGCUGGCUGCAACUGUUUAUUAAAAACACAGCACUGUGCAAACACGAAAGUGGACGUAUACGGUGUGACGCCUGCCCGGUGCCGGAAGGUUAAUUGAUGGGGUCAGCGCAAGCGAAGCUCCUGAUCGAAGCCCCGGUAAACGGCGGCCGUAACUAUAACGGUCCUAAGGUAGCGAAAUUCCUUGUCGGGUAAGUUCCGACCUGCACGAAUGGCGUAAUGAUGGCCAGGCUGUCUCCACCCGAGACUCAGUGAAAUUGAACUCGCUGUGAAGAUGCAGUGUACCCGCGGCAAGACGGAAAGACCCCGUGAACCUUUACUAUAGCUUGACACUGAACAUUGAGCCUUGAUGUGUAGGAUAGGUGGGAGGCUUUGAAGCGUGGACGCCAGUCUGCGUGGAGCCGGCCUUGAAAUACCACCCUUUAAUGUUUGAUGUUCUAACGUGGACCCGUGAUCCGGGUUGCGGACAGUGUCUGGUGGGUAGUUUGACUGGGGCGGUCUCCUCCUAAAGAGUAACGGAGGAGCACGAAGGUUGGCUAAUCCUGGUCGGACAUCAGGAGGUUAGUGCAAUGGCAUAAGCCAGCUUGACUGCGAGCGUGACGGCGCGAGCAGGUGCGAAAGCAGGUCAUAGUGAUCCGGUGGUUCUGAAUGGAAGGGCCAUCGCUCAACGGAUAAAAGGUACUCCGGGGAUAACAGGCUGAUACCGCCCAAGAGUUCAUAUCGACGGCGGUGUUUGGCACCUCGAUGUCGGCUCAUCACAUCCUGGGGCUGAAGUAGGUCCCAAGGGUAUGGCUGUUCGCCAUUUAAAGUGGUACGCGAGCUGGGUUUAGAACGUCGUGAGACAGUUCGGUCCCUAUCUGCCGUGGGCGCUGGAGAACUGAGGGGGGCUGCUCCUAGUACGAGAGGACCGGAGUGGACGCAUCACUGGUGUUCGGGUUGUCAUGCCAAUGGCACUGCCCGGUAGCUAAAUGCGGAAGAGAUAAGUGCUGAAAGCAUCUAAGCACGAAACUUGCCCCGAGAUGAGUUCUCCCUGAGACUUAGAGUCUCCUGAAGGAACGUUGAAGACGACGACGUUGAUAGGCCGGGUGUGUAAGCGCAGCGAUGCGUUGAGCUAACCGGUACUAAUGAACCGUGAGGCUUAACCUU
This 2907-nucleotide ribosomal RNA is filed under the name Salmonella enterica subsp. enterica serovar Derby. RNAcentral describes it as "23S ribosomal RNA". It matches the Rfam family "Bacterial large subunit ribosomal RNA". Lineage: Bacteria; Pseudomonadati; Pseudomonadota; Gammaproteobacteria; Enterobacterales; Enterobacteriaceae. The record is from RNAcentral.